GAACACGCACCUGCUGUUUCAGCAGGAAGGGUAGAAGCCUGUGGUCCACGAUCCUGAACGACUCCUGGGCUUGUGACGGACGCAUUUCAUUGGCUUGUGAUGGACGCAUUUCAUUGGCUUGUGACGGACGCAUUUCAUUGGCUUGCGACGGACGCAUUUCAUUAGCUUGUGAUGGACGCAUUUCAUUGGCUUGUGAUGGAUGCUUUUUGUUCCGCAAGUGGGACUUGCACACGUGGGAGCGGCUCACCCACCCCAUGCCUCCGUCUGCCGCGUGUGUGGCCCCAAGCCGAGGACCCACAAAGCCGUGCACCACCUCCUGACGUGGCUCUGGAUGACCAGCCUGGGAGGGGAGCUGGAGAGCCCUGCUGCCUGCGGUGGACUGUUCCGGAGAAGCCACGGUGACGACAGGAAGAGAUGUAACAGCUGAUGUGCACGAAGCCUCUACUGGCACAAGUCACCGUGCGUGCUGCUCACAGCAGCCCCGUAAGGGACCUGGACUACUAGUACACCCAUUUUACAGGCGGGGAAAUGGAGGCACAGAAAGGUUGGGUAACUUGCCCACGUUCACAUGGCCAGUAGGGCUGGAGCUGAGAUUUGAACCCAUUUCUACUCUUGAGAGCUACUCAAAAUCCACCUUCAGAGAGGGGGCGUGAUGAGAGGGAUCUGGGGAAGCUAUGAGGCUGGAAGGGACCUUGAGCCCGCCCCAGUGUUUGCUGGGGUGGAAACACGGCCCUGCUCCCUCCUGCGGCCCCGCCCCCUCCCUGCGGCCCCGCCCCUCCCUGCGGCCCCGCCCCCUCCCUGCAGCCCCUCCUUCCCAUGUGGUCCGAGUGAGGGGAGGACGUGGCUCCAGUCCCAGUGCUCCACCCGGCCUGUGCUGGGCGCCCCCAAACCACUGGCCUUCUCCACCUGGGCUUCUCAUCCCUAAAGGGGGCCGAGAAUAGCAGCCAGGCGCCUCUCCAGGCUGUCACGAGGAUGGGAUCAGAUAUAGGUGUGGAAGCCCCAGGAAAGCCCAGCUCUCCUGCUCCAGCCGCUUGGCCGCCAAGAGGGGUCUGGCUCCCUGUGCCAAGCCACACCUCCCCCCCACCCCCUAUCUCCCCACCCCCGCCAUGGUCGGACCCCGAAAGGUGGCAGGACUGGACACAUUCUCUCUGUUGAAGGCUCCGGCCUGCCUGGGUCGCUGUCCUAGGAUCUCUCAGAGGUCAGGCAGGUGCCAGGAGGGGAGAGUCCCCUGCCUAUCCCCAGCCGUGCACAGGAGCAGGGCCCUCCCCAAGGCUUCCCUAUGUCCCUAUGCCUUGAAUCUCAUCCUGAAAACAAGGACCUCGGACCUGCCGACCUGCCAGGUUUCUUCCAUCUUCAAGAUUCUAUCCUCCCGCUGAACCGAGGACCCCUGCGUGGCUGCUCCUCCCAGCCCCCCGCCAGAGGCCCCAACUCUUGCUCUUCCUUCUCGAAGGCAGAAGGUGCCGUUGAUGGAACCUCCUUUUCUGGGGAUCGAGGCCCUGUUGCCCCCAGAAGCUGGGGCACUAUUGUGCAGAGGGGUGGCGUUGAUAGGUGUGACGGUCCUGGGACUGAGCCCCUCUUGGCAGAAAGAGAGCCUUACACAGGGGCCAGCAAAGAGGGUUCAGACUUGGGAAGGCGGAUGUCAGGGACAGAAUUCUCCAGAAUGGCGCCAUCCAGUAGAGACUGUAGGCAGGCUGUGAACCGGAGCUGCUGGUUUGAUGUCACAUUAUAAGAAAAGAACAAACGGGCGAAGUUUAUUAUUAUUAUUAUUAUUUACUAUUAUUAUUAUUUUUAAGGGCCGCACCUGCAGCAGGUGGAGGUUCCCAGGCGAGGGGUCAAAUUGGAGCUGGAGCUGCCGGCCUACACCACAGCCAUGGCAACCCCAGAUCUGAGCCACAUCUGUGACCUACACCGCAGUUCUUGGCGAUGCCGGCUCCUUAACCCACUUCCAAGAGCGGCCAGGAAUUGCACCUACAUCCUCAUGGGUACUAUUCGGGAGCCACAAAGGGAGCUCCCAGGUGAAGUUUAUAUUAAUAAUAUAUUUCAUUAUCUCGAUACCUGCAAAUGUGAUCAUUUCAACACGUAAAUCCGUUUAACAUUCCGAGUGAGAUACUUUUCGCUCUUUGUUCACAGAAGACCUUUGAAACCCAGCACAUCUCAUUGUGGACCAGCCACAUCCCAUGUGCUCCAUGGCCAUGGGUGGUGUGGUCGCCCUGGUGGACGGCACAGCUCUGGGGAUGGAGAUGGAUUUGAGACCCACCCGUACUGCCAGCCGGCCAUGCCACUUAGACUUAAGGGAUGCCAGGCUCUAUUCCAAGAGCUUUCGGUGUAGUAACUCACGCAAUCAUCGUUUCCGUUUUUUUGGUUGACGAAAUGGAGAUCCAGAGAGGUUAAGUAAUUUGCCCAAGAUCACACAGCUAUUGAGAGGUGGAGCUGGGUUCUGAACCCUGAGUUUUAUUUGCUAGAGUGCUUUAUAAACGGUUACACAAAGCCUGAUCAUCAAUCAAUCAGUGAGUCAAUUCUUAGAGCAGCUCCCCUGGAACGGGGCUGAGCUGUGGAAGGGCUCUGUGCUCUGGGGAUUCGCUGCAGUUCUGAAGACGCUCAUUGGCUGCCUGCAUCGUGCCAGCUAAAGAGCAGCCUGGGGCAGAACUGGCUUUUUCUCCCAGGACCAGCUUUUCUUCGCUUUCCCACGGAGCCCCUUCCCGCUGUCAGGUGUCCACCCAGGGCCCCAGUGGGCUGGGCUCCCCCACCCCAGCCUCGCCCCGAGAGCUGGCAGGUUCAGGCUGAGACCUGCGGCAGCCUGGGCAUUCCUGCAGGUGGGGGAGGCUGGGCCCGCGUCCACGGAUGAAGUCUUGCUGCCCCGCCCGCCCUGUCGCCGGCUGGGACUUCUGCCUGGGAAUCUAUAGGAUGCUCCCUCAGCUCUGGGGCCUCCUGGGCCCCUGCAAGCAGGUGUGGGUCUCAGCAGCCGAGAUACCUCUUGGUCUGGGUUUGGUCCCUUCUUCUCCCACCCACUGAAAAACCAGUGACAAUGAUUUUUUUUUUAAUUUUUAUUUUAUUUUAUUUUUUUAGUUUUACCGAAUGUAGAAGUGAGUUGGGGCGCUCACUGGAUUCGUACACAGGUCUACACCACGGAACUACACGAGGUCAAAGUCUUGGACUGCUGCAGCCCCAGCAAGGCUGCCCUGUUUCCUCUCCCAGGCAGUCCCCUCGGCCCCCGCCUGAUCGCUGUCCCCUCCACGUGUUAGUCCUGCCCAUCUCUGAACACCGUAAAAAUGGACUCAUUUAGUGUGUCUCCUGUCUCUUGAGCGGCAUCAUCUUUUGGGGAUUCAGCCGUAGCCACAGCUUGCUCUUGUCGGGAUAUCGCCGACUCUCAGCCCUUUCGAGGACUUCACUGCGGUUUGUCCACUCACCUGUUCGUGGACAUGGGACCUGCUCCUGGCCUUGGGCUGGACGUCAUUAACAGAACUUCUGCGAGGCUUCCUGUGGACCUUUGGUGGGAACACGCCCCGUUUCUCUUAGCCGGGAGCUGCCGGGCAGAAGGUCCCCCAGCUUUAACCUUGGGAAACGUGACCCCUCAGCCUCCCCAAGGGGUCUGCUUCCUUUUACUCUCCCAACAACAAGGCCUGAGGGUUGUGGUUGUCCACAUCCUUGCCUAGGUUUGGUAUCGUCUGUCUGUCUGUCUGUCUCUCUCUCAUCUCUCUCUAUCUUGUCUUUUUAGGGUCGCACCUGCAGCAUAUGCAGGUUCCCAGGCCAGGAGUCCAAUUGGAGCUGUAGCUGCCAGCCUACACCACAACCAGAGCAAUGCCAGAUCCAAGCUGCGUCUGUGAGCUACACGGCAGCUCACGGCAAUGCGGGAUCCAUUCCCCCCCUGAGUGAGGCCAGGCAUUGAACCCGCAUCCUCACAGAUGCUAGUCAGGUUCGUUACCGCUGAGCCACAAAAGGAACUCCUCCAGCGGUAACGUCCUGAACGACACAUCGCCACCAGGAUGCUGACAUGGAUGCGGUCCGUUUACAGAGCACCCGUCACCACCAGGAUCCCUCAUGUUGCCUUUUCACCACCGCCCUGCCCCUCCUGUGCCACCCUCCUCCUCGAUUCCUGGCAGCCACUGUUGCCCCAAUCAGAACUGCAACAGAUUCACCAUCGGUCCUCCAUGCGAUAACUUUGUCAUUUCGAGAAUGUGAUAGAAAGAGAACAGUGCAGGAGCUUUUUUCCCACCCGGUGCACACCUUUGGGGGGGCAUCCAGUCUCUCUAGGCAUCAAUAAUUUGUUCCUUUCUACUGCAGAGUAGUGUUCCCUGGGAGUGGGUGGGCCAUGGUUGUUUCGCUGCUGCUUCUUUUUUUGGUUCAGGUUUUAAAUUUUAAAAAAAUUGAAGUAUAGUUGAUUUAUAGUGUUGUGUUAGUUUCAGGUGGACAACACAGUGAUUCAGUUACACAGGUAAAUAUUUGUAUAUAUAUUCUUUUUCAGAUUCCUUUCCUUUAUAGGUUAUUACAAAAUAUCAAAUAUUGUUUCCAGGUUGUUUCCUUCUUUACUGUUAAGUUUUAAGAGUUUUUUUUUAAAUUUUUAUUUUUUAAUAUAUAUCCAGGAGUUCCGUGGUGAUACAGCAGCAGGUUAGGGAUCCAGUGUCGUCACUGCUGUGGGCCCCGGGUUUGAUCCCUGGCCCCGAAAACUUCUGCAUGCCACGGACAUGUCCUAUAUAUAUAUACUAGACACGUGUCCUUUGUCAGAUAUAUAGUUUCUUUAAAACCAGUUUAUAGCUUGUCUUUUCAUCCUCUUAACAGGAUUUUUGGCAGAGCCACCGUGUUUAGUCUUGUUGCUGCCCAGUGCACCAUGUGCUCCUUUUAUGGUUGGUGCUUUGGGUUCAAAUCUAAGAACUUCUUGUCCAGCUCAAGAUCCUAAAGAGCUUCUCUCCUGCUUUUUUAAAAAGUUUGAUAAUUCUACUUGUUAUACUUUUAUGUGAUCCAUUACAAGUUGAAUAUUGUAAAAGAUGUGGAAGUUUUUUUAUUUUUGUUUGCUUUUCUAGGGCCGUAUCCGUGGCACAUGGAAGUUCCCAGGUUAGGGAUCGAAUCGGAGCUACCGCUGCCGGCCUACACCACAGCCACAGCAAACUCAGGAUCCGAGGCGCAUCUGCCACCUACACCACAGCUCACAGCAACGCGGGAUCCCUGACCCACUGAGUGAGGCCAGGGAUCGGACGCACAUCCUCAUGGAUACUUGUCAGAUUCACUUCUGCUGUGCCACAGUGGGAACUCCAAAGAUGUGGAACUUAAGCCAGAGCUGUGUAGUUGCUCCGGCAUCAUCUGUGAGAAGUGCUACCUUGCCUCCCCCAAAUUGCCUUCGAACCACUGUCAAAAAUUAGCGGGGCGUAUUUGUACGGGUAUGUUUCUGGUUUCUUGGUUCUGCUCCAUGGAUCCUUGUGCCUACCCCUCUGUCAGCACGACAUGGUUUUUGGUUGUUGUAUCUAUUAUAGGUCUUGAGAUCGGGUAAACUGAUGUCUCCCAUUUUAUCUGUCUCUUUCAAAAUUGUUUCAGCGAUGCUACUUCCUUUUUCUUUCUCUAUACGCUUUGGAACAAUCUUGUCUAUGCCUACACCGUUCUUACUAGGAUUUCGAUAGCAAUCUCUGUAUGUCACUCAAUACCGUUAUACCAGUGAAUUAGAACGGACGUCUUUAUUACGUUGACUCUUCCAAUCAUGAACGUGGCUGUGCAUCUCCACUCAGUCAUCUCGUCCUUGAUGUCCCAUCAGAGCUGUGACGCUUUCAACCUCUAAGUCCCUACAUGUUUUGUUAGAUUUAACCUAAGUAUUUUUUUUUAUUUAUUUUUGGCUGUGCCUGCAGCAUGUGGAUGUUCCUGGGCCCGGGACUGGGCAGUCACCACCGCAGUGACCCAGGCUGCUGCGGUGAUAACACACCAGAUCCCCACCCCACGGAGCCAUCAAAGAACUCUAGUAUUUCCUUUUUGAAAACGUUUGCAUGUUUAUCUUGUAUCCAGUGAUGUGGCUGCUCUUGCUUAUUAGUCCUAGGAAUCAUUUUCUUAAUAUUUAACUUUGAUUCCUUUAUUUAUCCAUAAAAUACUUUGAUUUUUUGGUGUAGAUUCCUUGGGCCUUUUGACACAGACAAUCAUGCCAUCUGCUUUAGGACGAGUUGUUUCUCUCUUCCUCCGUGUGGCUUUCAUUGCCUUCUCUUGCCUUGCACUGGCCAUAACUUCCAGCACUAUAUCAAGUAGGAGUGAUGAGAGCGGACUUCCUUUUCCCAAUCUUGGAAGGAAAACAUUCACUCUUUUACCAUUAAGGCUUACGUUAGUUAAGGUUUUUUAGAUGUUCUUUAUCAAGUUGAGAAAGGUCCUCUCUGGUCCUGCUUAUUUCAGAGUUUUUACCAUGACCUCAUGCGGAAUGUUGACAGAUGCUUUUUGUAGAUUGAGUAACACAGUCGUGUGAUUUUUCUUUAGCUUACUACUCUGCUGGACUAUAUUGAUUAAUUUUGAGCCUUCAGCAAGCCUUGCAUUGCUGAAAUAAACCUCAUUUGGUCCUCGUGUUUAAUUCACAUGACGUAUUGAUGAAUUAUACUUGCUAAUAGCUUUUAAGGGAUUUUUGUGUCUGUAUUCAUCAGAGAUAUUGGUCUGCAAUCUCCUUUUCUCUUUCCUGUUCUUUCUUUUCUUCUGCUUUUGUCGAGUUUUGGUAUCAGCAUAAAACUAGCUUCAUAAGAUGAACUGGGGAGUUCCCAUUGUGGCUCAGUGGUUAACGAAUCCGACUAGGAACCAUGAGGUUGCGGGUUCGAUCCCUGCCCUUGCUCAGUGGGUUAGGGAUCCGGUGUUGCCGUGAACUGUGGUGUGGGUCGCAGACGCAGCUUGGAUCCUGCGUUGCUAUGGCUCUGGUGUAGGCCGGUGGCUAUAGCUCUGAUUAGACCCCUAGCCUGGGAACCUCCAUAUGCUGCGGGAGUGGCAUUCAAAAGGCAAAAAAGACAAAACAUAAAUAAAUAAAUAAAAAAUAAAAUAAAAUAAAAGGAACUGGGACGUGUUCCUUCCUCUUAUAUUUUUUGGAAGAUACUGUGUCGAAUUGAUGUCAAUUCUUCUGUAAACCUUUGGUAAAACUCUGCAGUGAAAUCAUCUGGGCGUGAUGGUUUUUGGAGGGGAGUUUUUGAAAUUACACAUUUCAUUUCCUUAAUCAAGCUAUUCAAAUGAUCUAUUUCACACUGGGUGAGUUGUCCUUUUUCAAGGAAUUAGUCAAUUUCACUUACGUUGUCAAAUUUAUGUUUCCAGUAUUCUAUCUGUUUGGUACCUCUAAGAACUGUAGUAAUAUCUCCUGUUUCACUGCUGAUAUUGGCAAUUUGUAACUUCUGUCUUUAUUUCUUUGUCAAUUUUGCCUCUAGGCUUGUCAAUUUUAUUGUUCUCAAGGAACCAACUGUUUCUUUGAUUUUUUUUAUUCAUUUUCAUUUUUCAAUUUUAAAAAUUUCUGCUCUUGUCUUUAUUAUUUCUUUUCUUCUGUUUUCUUGAGGCUUAUUUUUACUUUUUUUUUUUCUCUAGGUUUUUGAGGUGGAAGCUUAACUUAUUGAUUUGAGAUGUUUCUUUCUUUUCUAUUGUUUGGAUUUAGUGCCACACAGUUUCUUCUCCGCACUGCUUUAGCUGUGUCCCUCCAACACUUGUAUGCUGUGUUUUCACUUGCAUUAAGUUCGACGUAUGAUUUGAAUUUCCCUUGAGACUUCUUCUUGGACUCAAAGAUCAUUUAGACUUGGGUUGUUUCGUUUCUCAGCGUUUAGAGAUUUUCCUAUCUUGCUGUUAUUGAUUCCUAGUUUGAUUCCAUCAUGGCUGGAGAACCCACUCUGUAUGAUUUUUAUUCUUUUAAAUUUGUUGAGGUUUGUUUAAUAGUCAGGAUAUGGUCUAUCCUGAUGUAUGUUCCAUAAACACCUGCUAAGAAUGUAUGUUGGGGGGAACGUUGUGUAAAUAUCGAUUAGAUCCUGGAGUUGACGGUGCUGUUGGUGCUUCUGUUUCCUUGUUGGGUUCCUGUCUAGUUGUUCUAGCAGUUAUGGGGAGAGGGAUGUGGAAAUCGCCAAGAGUAAUUCUGUAUUUACUUAUUUAUCCUCUCGUUUCUAUUGGCUUUUCUUUUGCACUUUCAGGAUUUUAGGUUGCCUUUAGUUUUCACAAGUUUAGUUAGUAUGUGUCUUGGUGUGGACUUCUUUGAUUUAUCCUAUGUAGGAUUUACUCAGAUUUUUGAGUCUGUAAGUUUUAUGUCUCUUUGCAAAUUUGGGAACUUUUCAGCCAUUAUUUCUUUGAGUACUUUUUCAUCACUGUCAUCUUUCUCUUGCAGUUCUGGGACGCUGAUGACAUGAAUGCUAGGUCUUUAGUUAUAGUUCCACAGGUCCCUGAGGCUCUGUUCAUUUUUCUUUCAGUCUGUUUUCUCUCUGUUGUUCAGAUUCAGUAAUUUCUAUUAUUCUAUCCUCUAGUUUACUGAUUCUUUACUCCAUCUCUUCCAUUCUGCUGUUGAAUAUGUCAGUGUGUUUUAAAUUUCAGUUAUUAUAUUUUUCGGUUCUACAUUUCCAAUUUGGUUCUUCUUUAUCUUCUCUUUCUUUGUUGAAGUUUUCUAUUUUUUUUUCAUUUAAGUGUAUUUGUAAUUGCUUAUGGAAAUAGCUUAUCAUGGCUGCUUUAAAAUCGUUGUCAAA
Molecule: long non-coding RNA, 8648 nt
Filed under: Sus scrofa (pig)
Lineage: Eukaryota; Metazoa; Chordata; Mammalia; Artiodactyla; Suidae
Description: lncRNA (ENSSSCG00030061709.1)
Source: RNAcentral